Molecule: ribosomal RNA, 584 nt
Filed under: uncultured Cenococcum
Lineage: Eukaryota; Fungi; Ascomycota; Dothideomycetes; Gloniales; Gloniaceae
Description: eukaryotic LSU rRNA
Rfam family: Eukaryotic large subunit ribosomal RNA
Source: RNAcentral
GAGGAAAAGAAACCAACAGGGAUUGCCUCAGUAACGGCGAGUGAAGCGGCAACAGCUCAAAUUUGAAAUCCGGCUCUUUUAGGGUCCGAGUUGUAAUUUGUAGAGGAUGCUUCGGCGUCGGCUCCGGUCUAAGUUCCUUGGAACAGGACGUCAUAGAGGGUGAGAAUCCCGUAUGUGAUCGGUUGCCCUUGCCAUGUGAAGCUCCUUCGACGAGUCGAGUUGUUUGGGAAUGCAGCUCUAAAUGGGAGGUAAAUUUCUUCUAAAGCUAAAUACUGGCCAGAGACCGAUAGCGCACAAGUAGAGUGAUCGAAAGAUGAAAAGCACUUUGGAAAGAGAGUCAAAAAGUACGUGAAAUUGUUGAAAGGGAAGCGCUUGCAACCAGACCUGCCUGCAGUUGCUCAUCCGGGCUUUCGCCCGGUGCACUCUUCUGCUGUCAGGCCAGCAUCAGUCCGGGCGGUCGGAUAAAGGCUUCGGGAAUGUAGCUCCUCUCGAGGAGUGUUAUAGCCCGUUGCGAAAUGCGGCCAGCCUGAACUGAGGUCCGCGCUUCGGCUAGGAUGCUGGCGUAAUGGUUGUAAGCGGCCCGU